RNAcentral lists this long non-coding RNA (411 nucleotides) under Mus caroli (Ryukyu mouse). RNAcentral describes it as "lncRNA (MGP_CAROLIEiJ_G0005950.1)". Lineage: Eukaryota; Metazoa; Chordata; Mammalia; Rodentia; Muridae. The record is from RNAcentral.
ACUCUGGCAGGUGGAGAGGACUGAAAGUGUGUCUAAUUGGUUUCCUUAAUAAGCGCUUAGAUUGACCUGCAGUUGCGGUGCCAUGCAUGUACCAGUUCCAUACCCACAAGACUCCGGCUACUUGAGGCGGCUUACACAGCUUGCAUUCCAAGCUGGCCUCAGGUUGAUUACCUAAACAAAAUGGCCUUGAAAUUUCGAUCCUCUUGAUGCCACCUAUUGAGUCUGCGUCAUCACAAUGGGCUCUAGGAGGUGCUGGUGAAGGCACCCAGGGCUUUCUUCAGACUAGUCAUGUACUAACAACUGAACUACUUCUCCAGCCCCAAGAACUACAGUUUUCAAAGGCGGUGGUGUGCACAUUACACGAAUAGGCAGAUCUCAACGUAAAGCGCCAAAUAAAAGGCGACUCCCUUC